Long non-coding RNA from Dreissena polymorpha, 3229 nucleotides. RefSeq lists it as uncharacterized. NCBI's taxonomy places the organism in Eukaryota, Metazoa, Mollusca, Bivalvia, Myida, Dreissenidae. The transcript is spliced from 2 exons. The record is from RefSeq and is a predicted model, not a curated record.
UUCGUAAAUCGAAUCUUGUAUGUCGUCAGUUGUCAAAACGAAACUACGGUUGAUAUUCAAAUGCAUUAUUUUUCUCUUUCCGGGAUAUUGUUGUAGUAUGUUGAUGCUGCAUUAACAAAUAUAAGUGUAUAUGAAGUGAAAACACCAAAAAUAAACAACGGUUGCGAUAGACACUACAUAGACAUAUACGCUCUUUAGUCGUACCGAGCACAUAUCAGUGAAAGGGGGAAAAAAUUACAUAUCUUUAGGGUAUGGGUAACCUAUGGUCUUUAAAAAUCGAUUAGGAAUUUAUAAAAGGUAUUUCUUGUGUUAGGUUUAAGAAAGACUGUCUCAAAAUAUUGUAAAAAAAACAACAUUGAAACUAGCGACAGCUCCCUUGCAAGGAUAUUUUGGAUCUCCAAAAAGGAGAUUUUUGCGAAGGUCAAUAUUUCACGCUGCAGAAACAGAACAGAACUUUAAAGUUUGGCCAUGCCCAGGAGGGAGUGACUGAGUUAUGGGGUGCAGAAGAAGCACAAGCCAUCUCGACAUGAUGAAUCAUCCCCAACAGCGCUUGAGGAUGGUUUCUUGCUCGAUGAGGAUGAAUCCAUAACUGAGAAUUGAGGAUGAUACUUCUCUCAACACUGCAUUGUAUGAAGACAAAGCAACUCAGUGUGGUUAGUCAUCGUCAACAACAGAACCAGACUAAGCUGACGUUGGAGACUGUCAAGUUGAGAUCACUGUGCCUAUCAGGGUUGAGUGUUACAUACUGAACGAAGUGAUCCAAAGCAAUUUAUUGUCAAUACGCACGCUAGAGACCUGGACAUUCGCUUUUUACAUUCAGAUCAAAGCAUGGCAAAACAUAUUUAAGGAUGAAAGUAUGUGUUAAUGAAGCAGGACACACUACUGAAUAUGUUCAUGGUUAGGAAGUUGCCCAGAACCAUUUUUUGUGGGAACAAAUUUCUAGUGAUUAUCUUUUUGCCCUUUAGCUCACCUGAGCACAAUGUGCUAAUGGUGAGCUUUUUUGAUCGCCUUUUGGCAGUCGUGGAGUGCGUGUUGUGUGGCGUCAACAUUUGCCUUGUAAACAAUCUUGAGGCCACAUUAAUUGUCCAAACUUCAUGAAAUUUGGUCAGAACAUUUUUCCAAAUGAAAUCUUGGACAAGUUAAAAAAUUGUUCUGGUUUAUUGUCCGUCAUCAUGAAACUUGUUCAGAAGAUUUGUCAAAAUGAUAUCUUGGGCAAGUUCAAAAAUGGUUCCGGUUGGUUCAAAAACAUGGGCACCAGGGGGUGGGGCAUUUUUCCUUAUAUGUCUAUAUAUAGCUAUAGAAAAACCUGGUAUCCGGACAAUCUCUCCUACAGACAAUCGCUCCUACGCUAAAUUUGAUAGGGCGGACGGUCGCUCCUACGAUGUUUUGACAGGGCGGACAGUCGCUCCUACGAUGUUUUGCAAGGGCGGACAGUCGCUCCUACGAUGUUUUGACAGGGCAGACAGUCGCUCCUACAUUAUUUUGCCAACCCGGACAAUCGCUCCUACAUUAUUUUGUCAACCCAGACAGUCGCUCCUACAUUAUUUUGACUCCACGGCAAAAUGUAGUGUACGCCGAUCAAAGGCUAACACCUAUGAUUAACCAACAAUUAAAAUUGCCAACUUGUGUCGAAAAAUGCAAAAUAAGCCAGAUAUUUAAAUUUGAAAUCGAAAAUGUCUGUACAUUUGAAUUCGCCAUUAUGUUGCAUUUCAUGAAUUUUGUAUUCAAUGUAUAAUUGAUUGAAGCGAUUGAAUAAUUUGGAAAGUUCUAGUGAUGUCGUUUAAAUUUGUGAAACUACGAUGAUAUAAGGUAUAAAAUACGCAUCUUAUGUAUCCUUGGCAGGAUAGCUCAGUUGGCUAAUGCGUUUUUUACUUCGAGUCCUGCUGCGGGCUACUUUUGUUUUCCUUUUUUAAAUUUUAUUUUUGAUUUUUUACUGGAGCUUUUAAAAUUUAAUGUUUACAUUUAUCAAUAUAAAGCAUUUAAUGACAAACUUCAAAACAUGCCAAAAUCUGUGAAAAGGCCCCUUUAAUGUGACGCCAUUCUGUAAUCUUUAUGCACGGUUGGCACAUCAUAGGUGUCAAAGUGGUCAUUAUCGAUUGAUACUACCAUUGUUGUUAUAGCAAUUAUUGAUUUAAUGCGGUUUUUAUGUUUAUUCCAUUCGCAAAAUGGCACUUAUUCCAAUAAAUGUAAUAUAGGAAAGAAUGUCCCUGAUAGGAAUAAUGUAGGAACCAUUGUCCAAAGUGCCCUUAUAACUACCUUAUAUUUACAAUCGACAAACUGUAACAUAGUUUGUCAGUAAGUAAAUUAAUUAAUUAAAAUCAAAUUGAUCGGCUCAUGUUAAUUAAAUUGGCUUUCUGUUAACAGGUUGGCAAUUAUAAUUGUUGAUUAAUUAUAGGUGUAAGCCUUUGAUCAGCGAAUAAUAUGUUUUGCCUUGGAGUCAAAAAUAAUGUAGGAGCGAUUGUCCGGGUUGACAAAAUAAUGUAGGAGUGAUUGUCCGGGUUGGCAAAAUAAUGUAGGAGCGACUGUCCGCCCUGUCAAAACAUCGUAGGAGCGACUUUCCGCCCUGUCAAAACAUCGUAGGAGCGACUGUCCGCCCUGUCAAAACAUCGUAGGAGCGACUGUCCGCCUUGUCAAAUUUAGCGUAGGAGCGAUUGUCCGUAGGAGCGAUUGUCCGGGAUUCGAAAAACCUUUUUAACACUCUAUAGAGUGUCCCAAUGAUAUCAUGAAAAACAUGGCCACCAAGGGGCGGGGCUUUUUCCUUACAUGACUUUGGUAAAAACAUGUUAACACUCUCAGUCGCAUUUAUAGUCCAAUCUCCAUGAUGAAAAAUUCUUAUGUGAUUAUGAAUUUUCUUCAGCAACAUUAAUACCCUGCCCCAUUCGAUAAUGGCUCUUAUGCUUACAUGUUUGUUGCCUGCAUAACUGCAGAAUAUUAGCUGUUUUCUCCCGAUAUGUUAUUAAUUUUGUAAUAUCAACAACUUGCUUAAUACGUGUAAUAAAUUGCUUAUUUUUUAUGCCAGUUGUAUUGAUAUGUGUUUAUGAAUGAUGAAGUUUUGAUGAAAUAUCAUUAAAUUGUAAAAACUAUGUUCAUGCAUUCUUUUAUUGCACAGACUAAAAUUAAACCUAUCUCGCCAAAACCACUGGAUGCGCGAGAGUUUGCCGAUAUUUGGCGAGCUGCCUAUCUCUGUUAUCUCUGUUAUCUAUGUCUCUGAUAAAACUAAUUACUGCUG